Long non-coding RNA from Uranotaenia lowii, 1229 nucleotides. RefSeq lists it as uncharacterized. The record is from RefSeq and is a predicted model, not a curated record. The transcript is spliced from 3 exons. Lineage: Eukaryota; Metazoa; Arthropoda; Insecta; Diptera; Culicidae.
AGAUACACUACACGGAAAAAUUGAGUUAUGCAUAAAAUGUAUUGCAAUUACACUUUCAUUUUAUCUAAUCCGUUGUUGUUCAAAAUUUGUAUAACCCCGAUUCAAAUCUGAGUAGUUUUAGGUAGUCAAUAUGCAGAUGUGAACUAAAAUUCAAUUAUUCAUCUCUGUAUAAAAUGUUGUUGUUGUUGGAAUCCAUUCAAAGGGAUGUCAAAGCGAAAAAAAGAAAAAAUAUUUAAACUUUUGGAUGGUUACGGAGGAACAAUCCAACCAUUUUUUCCUCAAAGAAACUGUAAAUUGAUAACAAGUUAAACAAAAUUUAUUUUUGUUAGCUGGAUAUGUAGCUUCUCUUCAUCUAAGCUUCGGAAACUGGUGAGUAGAUGUAUAAUUUCUUCGAACACUUUCAUUUUCUUUAUUAUUUUCAUGUAGUGCUCAGAUGUUAUUGAUUUGGAAGAAGAAAAAUCUCUACCCCGGAGCUGUUCCAUAUGCAUAAGAAAACAAGAAAGGGAGUGCAAGAUAAGGUUAUCCCGUUUUACUUGAGCUGCAGCUAGACGGCUGCUCCCGAUGAUUCAGUGAGAUAAAUAAAAAUAUUGAAUGCAAUAAUUGAAUUACUCAAAGCUAUCCGUUAUGUUUUUAGUGCAUCCACUGGAAGAACCUGGGUGUUCAAGGACAUUGAAAAAUAUGCGACGGUCCGAGGUCGCAGUGAAAAAGUGGACGGCCGAAACCGUACAGAAAAAGUCCUGAAAUAGGUGGUUCGAGUCGAACUCUACAAUCUAGAGGAAUACAUCCAGGAGGAAUCAGUCAGAAACAUCCCGGUUCGAGUAAACAUGACAAGGAGCUGCUAAAAAAGAGAGUCCUGUGAGGACAGCAGAAAACAGCAUUGGAAUCUGCUGACAGCGGAAGCUUGUAGGACAGGAAAAGAGGCUUUCAAUAGAAAUUUUUCAAAAGCACGAAUGUUUGAAAGUGCGAACCAGUGCUGAGGAAGCGCAGACACUGCAGAACAUGCUGGGGAACUACCUGGACCAUGAGAUAGUGGGUCUGAAUGGAAAAAUUCUCGGAGCCUAUCCAGUUGAACCUUCGGUAGAUGUGCAUCAAAAAGUCCUACCAAAAGCUUGAGGGAACAGCCGUUUAAUUCUAAAAGAUUCUUCGUUCCCCUCUGGGAUGGGCAGCAUAGACGUAAUCAGUACCGGAUGUUGGAUGUUCCAUGUUGGUUGAGCCAUGAUAGUUAUUCA